UGUAGAUGGUUCUCGACUGUGCUCAGCUA
RNAcentral lists this non-coding RNA (29 nucleotides) under Rattus norvegicus (Norway rat). Lineage: Eukaryota; Metazoa; Chordata; Mammalia; Rodentia; Muridae. The record is from RNAcentral.